Molecule: ribosomal RNA, 484 nt
Filed under: uncultured bacterium
Lineage: Bacteria
Description: partial 16S ribosomal RNA
Source: RNAcentral
GUAGUUAGCCGGGGCUUCCUCCUUGGCUACCGUCACUUUCUUCGUCACCAAGGACAGAGGUUUACAAUCCGAAGACCUUCUUCCCUCACGCGGCGUUGCUGGGUCAGGCUUUCGCCCAUUGCCCAAUAUUCCCCACUGCUGCCUCCCGUAGGAGUCUGGACCGUGUCUCAGUUCCAGUGUGGCCGAUCAGCCUCUCAGCUCGGCUACCCAUCGUUGGCUAGGUGGGCCGUUACCCCGCCUACUACCUAAUGGGACGCGAACCCCUCCUUCUGCGGAUUGCUCCUUUGAUUAUUAAAAGAUGCCUUUCAAUAAUGUUAUGCGGUAUUAAUCUCCCUUUCGGGAGGCUAUUCCCCUCUAUGAGGCAGGUUGCCCACGUGUUACUCACCCGUCCGCCGCUAGAAAAGCUCCGAAGAACUUUUCUCGCUCGACUUGCAUGUGUUAAGCACGCCGCCAGCGUUCAUCCUGAGCCAUGAUCAAACUCUGA